CGCUGGAGCGUCAGACCUAUACCGGACCGUCUCGGCAACGAGAAUCGCUCGGUCAAACGAGCGAGAGCCACGCUGAGACGAGUAGGAGGGCCGCUGCGGUGAGCGCCGAAGCCUGGGACGCGAGUCUGGGUGGAGCCGCCGCAGGCGCAGAUCUUGGUGGUAGUAGCAAAUAUUCA
RNAcentral lists this ribosomal RNA (176 nucleotides) under Ampullaria sp. RNAcentral's name for it is "partial 28S ribosomal RNA". It matches the Rfam family "Eukaryotic large subunit ribosomal RNA", at positions 1326 to 1473 of the family's 3401-position model. The record is from RNAcentral. Lineage: Eukaryota; Metazoa; Mollusca; Gastropoda; Architaenioglossa; Ampullariidae.